This 497-nucleotide ribosomal RNA is filed under the name uncultured bacterium. Its description in RNAcentral is "partial 16S ribosomal RNA". It matches the Rfam family "Bacterial small subunit ribosomal RNA", at positions 28 to 507 of the family's 1533-position model. The record is from RNAcentral.
GAUGAACGCUGGCGGCGUGCCUAAUACAUGCAAGUCGAGCGAACAGACGAGGAACUUGCUCCUCUGACGUUAGCGGCGGACGGGUGAGUAACACGUGGAUAACCUACCUAUAAGACUGGGAUAACUUCGGGAAACCGGAGCUAAUACCGGAUAAUAUAUUGAACCGCAUGGUUCAAUAGUGAAAGACGGUUUUGCUGUCACUUAUCGAUGGAUCCGCGCCGCAUUAGCUAGUUGGUAAGGUAACGGCUUACCAAGGCAACGAUGCGUAGCCGACCUGGGAGGGUGAUCGGCCACACUGGAACUGAGACACGGUCCAGACUCCUACGGGAGGCAGCAGUAGGGAAUCUUCCGCAAUGGGCGAAAGCCUGACGGAGCAACGCCGCGUGAGUGAUGAAGGUCUUCGGAUCGUAAAACUCUGUUAUUAGGGAAGAACAAAUGUGUAAGUAACUAUGCACGUCUUGACGGUACCUAAUCAGAAAGCCACGGCUAACUACGUG